This 1053-nucleotide long non-coding RNA is filed under the name Canis lupus familiaris (dog). RNAcentral describes it as "lncRNA (ENSCAFG00845031119.1)". Lineage: Eukaryota; Metazoa; Chordata; Mammalia; Carnivora; Canidae. The record is from RNAcentral.
UCUCUGGGGCGGGUGCGUGUGAAACGGGGGCAGCACCAGGCACGGACGAGGCGCGUCGGUGUCGAGUUCCGGGCCCCAGGAUGUGUGGGGCCGCAUCCCAUCCCGGCAGUCACGUCACUUUCUUCUUUUACCGAAAACCCAAACCAGCUCCAGCCAGAGGGCGGUGGGAGUGGACAAACGUGCAGGGGGAAGGAGAACAGAAGCGUCUCUGCCAGCUGCCCCCCCCCCCCCGCCCCCCGGUCUGGGCUACCAAGGGCCUGGCCCGCCCUGCUGAGCCCCACGCAGGCCGGGCCAGGUCCGGGAGGAGUUACGUGCGGCUCCGUGUGUUUCUGGCUUCUCUGCAAAUACUGCGACACCUCCGAUGGGGAACAGCUGACACGAGUGACUGCUAAUCCCCAGGGCGGAGCAGGCUGGCCCUCCCUCCCCGAUCCCAGCAGAUGGUGGCCCCGACAGGCUUCCCUCGAGGCAAGGGCAGGGGAAGGGCCCAGCGUCUGUGCCUUGGGCCCGCCUGCGCCGCUCCCCGCGGCCUGUCCCUGCCCCGGAGGGGCCUGGAGGGCCCUGGAGAGCCCCGGGACCCCACCCCCCGCCCCGUGUCGCCGACCCGCUGCGAGGCUCAAGGUCAGCCAGCGGGCGGGCAGGGCACAGCAGGCGGCGCGGCCUCCCCCUCCAGGAAUCACCCGGGAAGGGCGCUGGGGACUUACUUCCGAUGCAGAUUCCAUCUGCCGAGGUGGACCGGGUGGGUCUAGCUCGCGGCCCCAGGAGGCGCCCCGCCAGCGGCUGGCGGGCGGACCGGGGCGCAGUCGGGGGCCUGCAUCCCACCCCACACUCUUCCCGCGGCCCAGCUCUGCGACCUCCAGCCAGGGAGGCCCACUGGUUCCCUGCCUCAGAGGACAGAGACCAGCCUUGCUCAAACUGCAGGAUGCAGCCAUUGCUCGCUUUGAACACUUCAGUCAAACUUUGCAUCAAAAAAUGAAAUCAGGAUAUUAUUUACACAACAAUGUGAGUGUACUGAUUACUGCUGAACUGCACAAUUUUAAAUGGUUAGCAUGGUAA